RNAcentral lists this long non-coding RNA (227 nucleotides) under Elaeis guineensis (African oil palm). Its description in RNAcentral is "long non-coding RNA (EGUI_LNC073233)". Lineage: Eukaryota; Viridiplantae; Streptophyta; Magnoliopsida; Arecales; Arecaceae. The record is from RNAcentral.
GUGAAGGUGAUGUCUAUAUUAUAGAUGCUAAUAGGCGAUGAGUUCAAUAUUCUGGUAUAAAUGUUAGUAUUUAUUUAUUGAUGCUCUACUAAUAUUAUUGUUCAACAACAUGUUAUAUUUGUUAAUAUUCAUUAACGUUGCAGGUCACGAUGGCACCGAAAUGCUAUCUAGCUUUCACCCCCGUGCCUCAGAGGACUACAUGAAGCUCUGCAUCUGAGCCACUGCUG